CAGGCUUAACACAUGCAAGUCGAGGGGCAUCAGGAAGAAAGCUUGCUUUCUUUGCUGGCGACCGGCGCACGGGUGAGUAACACGUAUCCAACCUGCCCUUUACUCGGGGAUAGCCUUUCGAAAGAAAGAUUAAUACCCGAUAGCAUAAUGAUUCCGCAUGGUUUCAUUAUUAAAGGAUUCCGGUAAAGGAUGGGGAUGCGUUCCAUUAGGUUGUUGGUGAGGUAACGGCCCACCAAGCCUUCGAUGGAUAGGGGUUCUGAGAGGAAGGUCCCCCACAUUGGAACUGAGACACGGUCCAAACUCCUACGGGAGGCAGCAGUGAGGAAUAUUGGUCAAUGGGCGCUAGCCUGAACCAGCCAAGUAGCGUGAAGGAUGAAGGCUCUAUGGGUCGUAAACUUCUUUUAUAUAAGAAUAAAGUGCAGUAUGUAUACUGUUUUGUAUGUAUUAUAUGAAUAAGGAUCGGCUAACUCCGUGCCAGCAGCCGCGGUAAUACGGAGGAUCCGAGCGUUAUCCGGAUUUAUUGGGUUUAAAGGGAGCGUAGGUGGACUGGUAAGUCAGUUGUGAAAGUUUGCGGCUCAACCGUAAAAUUGCAGUUGAUACUGGCGACCUUGAGUGCAACAGAGGUAGGCGGAAUUCGUGGUGUAGCGGUGAAAUGCUUAGAUAUCACGAAGGACUCCGAUUGCGAAGGCAGCUCACUGGACUGCAACUGACACUGAUGCUCGAAAGUGUGGGUAUCAAACAGGAUUAGAUACCCUGGUAGUCCACACAGUAAACGAUGAAUACUCGCUGUUUGCGAUAUACAGUAAGCGGCCAAGCGAAAGCAUUAAGUAUUCCACCUGGGGAGUACGCCGGCAACGGUGAAACUCAAAGGAAUUGACGGGGGCCCGCACAAGCGGAGGAACAUGUGGUUUAAUUCGAUGAUACGCGAGGAACCUUACCCGGGCUUAAAUUGCAGUGGAAUGAUGUGGAAACAUGUCAGUGAGCAAUCACCGCUGUGAAGGUGCUGCAUGGUUGUCGUCAGCUCGUGCCGUGAGGUGUCGGCUUAAGUGCCAUAACGAGCGCAACCCUUAUCUUUAGUUACUAACAGGUUAUGCUGAGGACUCUAGAGAGACUGCCGUCGUAAGAUGUGAGGAAGGUGGGGAUGACGUCAAAUCAGCACGGCCCUUACGUCCGGGGCUACACACGUGUUACAAUGGGGGGUACAGAAGGCAGCUAGCGGGUGACCGCAUGCUAAUCCCAAAAUCCUCUCUCAGUUCGGAUCGAAGUCUGCAACCCGACUUCGUGAAGCUGGAUUCGCUAGUAAUCGCGCAUCAGCCACGGCGCGGUGAAUACGUUCCCGGGCCUUGUACACACCGCCCGUCAAGCCAUGGGAGCCGGGGGUACCUGAAGUACGUAACCGCAAGGAUCGUCCUAGGGUAAAACUGGUGACUGGGGCUAA
This 1438-nucleotide ribosomal RNA is filed under the name uncultured organism. RNAcentral describes it as "16S ribosomal RNA". It matches the Rfam family "Bacterial small subunit ribosomal RNA". The record is from RNAcentral.